Molecule: ribosomal RNA, 253 nt
Filed under: uncultured bacterium
Lineage: Bacteria
Description: partial 16S ribosomal RNA
Rfam family: Bacterial small subunit ribosomal RNA
Source: RNAcentral
UACGUAGGGUGCGAGCGUUAAUCGGAAUUACUGGGCGUAAAGCGUGGGCAGGCGGUUUUGCAAGCCGGAUGUGAAAUCCCCGGGCUUAACCUGGGAAUGGCAUUUGGGACUGCAAGGCUGGAGUGCGGCAGAGGAGACUGGAAUUCCUGGUGUAGCAGUUAAAUGCGUAGAUAUCAGGAGGAACACCGAUGGCGAAGGCAGGUCUCUGGGCUGACACUGACGCUCAUGCACGAAAGCGUGGGGAGCAAACAGG